This 64-nucleotide transfer RNA is filed under the name Bolivaritettix sikkinensis. RNAcentral's name for it is "tRNA-Leu". Lineage: Eukaryota; Metazoa; Arthropoda; Insecta; Orthoptera; Tetrigidae. The record is from RNAcentral.
UCUAAUAUGGCAGAAUAGUGCAGUGAGUUUAAGCCUCAAAUAUAAAGAACUCUUUUGUUAGAAA